This 253-nucleotide ribosomal RNA is filed under the name uncultured bacterium. RNAcentral's name for it is "partial 16S ribosomal RNA". It matches the Rfam family "Bacterial small subunit ribosomal RNA", at positions 524 to 776 of the family's 1533-position model. The record is from RNAcentral.
UACGUAGGGUGCGAGCGUUAAUCGGAAUUACUGGGCGUAAAGCGUGCGUAGGCGGUUCGUUAAGUCAGCUGUGAAAGCCCCGGGCUCAACCUGGGAACUGCGGUUGAAACUGGCGAACUAGAAUCUGGCAGAGGGGGGUGGAAUUCCACGUGUAGCAGUGAAAUGCGUAGAGAUGUGGAGGAACACCGAUGGCGAAGGCGGGUCUCUGGGCCGAUACUGACGCUGAGGAGCGAAAGCGUGGGGAGCGAACAGG